CAUUGGAUGAGGAAAGUCAUUAGGCCAUUAGGUAUGCUAGCCGCUCCACCCGCCGAUCUCCGCAAGGGAUGUGAGGACUCUAAAACUUCACCAGGGCCUCCGUCGGCAUAUGGUGAUGGUGGGAUGAGCUGCUGGACUUUCAUAAGACACCAGGAUCCAGAAGCAAUACCACAUGAUCCCAAAACUUCCUGGGAGGGAGGAAGGCAGGCAGGCAGGGAAAAGAGAAGGAGUAAUAUAAACCCUCCUGGGAUUUGGGUUACGAUGUAUCCCCAGAAGAAGGACCCGUGGAUCAUUCCCACUGUUUCUGGAUCCCAGUCAAACUGAGCUUUCUGAUGGGACACAGGGAGACAAACAGUUAUAAGUCUG
This is a long non-coding RNA of Epinephelus moara (kelp grouper), 366 nucleotides long. RefSeq lists it as uncharacterized. The transcript is spliced from 3 exons. Lineage: Eukaryota; Metazoa; Chordata; Actinopteri; Perciformes; Serranidae. The record is from RefSeq and is a predicted model, not a curated record.